RNAcentral lists this ribosomal RNA (392 nucleotides) under uncultured bacterium. RNAcentral describes it as "partial 16S ribosomal RNA". It matches the Rfam family "Bacterial small subunit ribosomal RNA", at positions 523 to 918 of the family's 1533-position model. The record is from RNAcentral.
AUACGGAGGAUCCGAGCGUUAUCCGGAUUUAUUGGGUUUAAAGGGUGCGCAGGCGGCCAUUUAAGUCAGCGGUUAAAUCGUGGGGCUCAACCCCAUUCUGCCGUUGAUACUGGGUGGCUUGAUUGCGGUCGAGGUUGGCGGAAUUCGUUGUGUAGCGGUGAAAUGCAUAGAUAUGACGAAGAACACCAAUUGCGUAGGCAGCUGACCAGAUCGCAAAUGACGCUCAUGCACGAAAGUGCGGGGAUCGAACAGGAUUAGAUACCCUGGUAGUCCGCACAGUAAACGAUGAAUACUUGUUUUCGGCGAUAUAAUGUCGGAGGCAAAGCGAAAGCGAUAAGUAUUCCACCUGGGGAGUACGCCGGCAACGGUGAAACUCAAAUGAAUUGGCGGGG